RNAcentral lists this ribosomal RNA (1213 nucleotides) under Haemaphysalis japonica. Its description in RNAcentral is "16S ribosomal RNA". The record is from RNAcentral. Lineage: Eukaryota; Metazoa; Arthropoda; Arachnida; Ixodida; Ixodidae.
AAUGAAAAUUUGUUUUUCAACCAUUUUUAUAAAAAAAUUACAUAAGAAUUUUUAAAAAAGUUAAAAUUCAAUUAAAUAUUGAAUUAAUUUUAACUGUGAAGGAAAUAUUUUUUUAUCAGAAAGUAAUUUUAUGUACCUUUAGCAUAAGGGAUUUUCAAAAAAAAAUAAAUAUUUAUUUAUUUCGAAUUUAACUGAUCUAUUUUUUAAAAAAGCUUAUGUUUCAAAAUAAACUUUAAACAUUCAAUAGAAGUGAAAUUCUUAUCAAAGUUAAAGAUAUCUAAUUUUUUAUUAAAAAAUAAAAUUUUUCUUAUAAUACAAAAUAUUUAUUAAAAUUAUAAGUAAUUAUAUAAGGGAUAAGCUUUAUAUAUAAUUAUAUAUAUUAAAUAUAUAUUCUUAAUAAGAAUUAGAAUUUUUCCUAUAUUGUUAUAAAUAAUUAUAAUUUUAUAUUAAAAAGUAAUAUUUUUUAUAAAAUUAAAAACACUUUUAAAUUUUAAAAAUGAAAAUAUUAGUAAAAAACUUAAAUUUUUUAAGUAAAUUAAACUAAAUAAUUUUAUUAUAGAAAUAAUUUCUAGUAAUUCGGCAAAAAUUUUUUUUGACUGUUUAAUAAAAACAAUGUAUUUAGAUUUUUUAAUUAAAUAUAAAUCCUGCUCAAUGAAUAAUUAAAUUGCUGUAGUAUUUUGACUAUACAAAGGUAUUGUAAUAAGACUUUAAUUGAGUGCUAAAAGAAUGGAAUUUCAAAAAAAGGCUAUCUUGAAUUUCAAAAUUGAAAUUAUUUUUAUUUGUGAAGAAACAAUAAUUAAGAUUAAGGACAAGAAGACCCUAAGAAUUUUUAAAUUUAUAAAAAAGUACUUUUUUUAUAAAUUUUUAAUUGGGGCGAUUAAAAAAUAUUAUUAACUUUUAAUUACAAAAAAUGAUCCAUUAUUAAUGAUAAAAUGCAAAAAAUACUCUAGGGAUAACAGCGUAAUAAUUUUAGAUAGAUCUUAUAGAAAAAAUAGUUUGCGACCUCGAUGUUGGAUUAGGAUUCUUUUUUAAUGAAGAAGUUAAAAAAAGAAGUUUGUUCAACUUUUAAAAUCCUACAUGAUCUGAGUUUAGACCGAUGUAAAUCAGGUUGGUUUCUAUCUUAAUUUUUUUUAAAUUUUAAUUAGUACGAAAGGAAUUUUAAAAUAUAAAAUUUAUAUAAUAUAUAACAGUUUUUGCAUCAAUUUUUGGAAUU